AUUGAACGCUGGCGGCAGGCCUAACACAUGCAAGUCGAGCGGAUGAAGGGAGCUUGCUCCUGGAUUCAGCGGCGGACGGGUGAGUAAUGCCUAGGACUCUGCCUGGAAGUGGGGGAUAACGUCCGGAAACGGGCGCUAAAACCGCAUACGUCCUGAGGGAGAAAGUGGGGGAUCUUCGGACCUCACGUUAUCAGAUGAGCCUAGGUCGGAUUAGCUAGUUGGUGGGGUAAAGGCCUACCAAGGCGACGAUCCGUAACUGGUCUGAGAGGAUGAUCAGUCACACUGAGACUGAGACACGGUCCAGGCACCUACGGAAGGCAGCAGUGGGGAAUAUUGGACACUGGGCGAAAGCCUGAUCCAGCCGUGCCGCGUGUAUGAAGAAGGUCUUCGGAUUGUAAAGCACUUUAAGUGUGGAGGAAGGGCAGUAAGUUAAUACCUUGCUGUUUUGACGUUACCAACAGAAUAAGCACCGGCUAACUUCGUG
Molecule: ribosomal RNA, 484 nt
Filed under: uncultured bacterium
Lineage: Bacteria
Description: partial 16S ribosomal RNA
Rfam family: Bacterial small subunit ribosomal RNA
Source: RNAcentral